Molecule: ribosomal RNA, 331 nt
Filed under: Mobiluncus mulieris
Lineage: Bacteria; Bacillati; Actinomycetota; Actinomycetes; Actinomycetales; Actinomycetaceae
Description: bacterial SSU rRNA
Rfam family: Bacterial small subunit ribosomal RNA
Source: RNAcentral
GAAGAAGCGCCGGCUAACUACGUGCCAGCAGCCGCGGUAAUACGUAGGGCGCGAGCGUUGUCCGGAUUUAUUGGGCGUAAAGAGCUCGUAGGUGGUUCGUCGCGUCUGUCGUGAAAGCCAGCAGCUUAACUGUUGGUCUGCGGUGGGUACGGGCGGGCUUGAGUGCGGUAGGGGUGACUGGAAUUCCUGGUGUAGCGGUGGAAUGCGCAGAUAUCAGGAGGAACACCGAUGGCGAAGGCAGGUCACUGGGCCGUUACUGACGCUGAGGAGCGAAAGCGUGGGGAGCGAACAGGAUUAGAUACCCUGGUAGUCCACGCUGUAAACGUUGGGA